This is a long non-coding RNA of Vitis vinifera (wine grape), 704 nucleotides long. RefSeq lists it as uncharacterized. The record is from RefSeq and is a predicted model, not a curated record. The transcript has 2 exons. NCBI's taxonomy places the organism in Eukaryota, Viridiplantae, Streptophyta, Magnoliopsida, Vitales, Vitaceae.
GCACAACAAUCUCUUAUACUUUCUUAAUAAUAAUAACUAAAUCGCAACCUUAUAAUUUUUUAAACUUUGAGAGUCUUAACACAUGUGUAGACCCCCUCUUCCGGGGAGGAGUUUUUGGGGUGAUUUUUCUAUCAUGAUUACCCUUCUGACCACCCCGAGAUUUAAGCUGAUGGGGGCGGCCAGAUUAGAGAGGAGCAGAGAGUAGGUGAGGGCUGUAGGAAAAAAGAAAGGCGGGAAAGGAAAGACAGCUAAGGGGAAGGGAUUGGAAAGAAAGAAAGGGCAGAGCAGAGGAAGAGGGGAGGGACUCAUACAUUUUUCCGAUUGGUUCCCGCUAGGAGAGAGCUCUUCCAGGUGGAAAUGGCAGCCUCUGGAAUUUAGAAUCGCUGAGAUAAACGCAAGGUUUCCGUUAACAGGUCACAUCAUAUCUCAUAAAUGUCUCAUCUUUUUCUACCGUCUUCGUUGCUACAGCUGUUUCCACUGAUUGUGUGGUUAAUAACGGGAAGCCCUUUUCUGCACUGCAUAUACAUGGGUCCCACACAAUAAAUAAUAAUAAUAAAAGGGGAUUCGUGCAGAGGGAAUCCAACGCUGAAGAUUUUUGUCUUUGUUUGAAAAUGCAAGCAUGAGAGGGUCUUGUUACUCUGUUUACAUUUCGCACUCAAUCUCAUUGAAUAGUGAAUACCACCAAGUCUGAUAUUUUGCUCUAA